GGGGGAUUAGCUCAAGUGGUAGAGCGCUCGCUUCGCAUGCGAGAGGUAGUGGGAUCGAUGCCCACAUCCUCCA
Molecule: transfer RNA, 73 nt
Filed under: Pangasianodon hypophthalmus (striped catfish)
Lineage: Eukaryota; Metazoa; Chordata; Actinopteri; Siluriformes; Pangasiidae
Rfam family: tRNA
About the family: Transfer RNA (tRNA) molecules are approximately 80 nucleotides in length.
Source: Rfam by way of RNAcentral